This 343-nucleotide transfer-messenger RNA is filed under the name marine eukaryotic metagenome. RNAcentral describes it as "Alphaproteobacteria transfer-messenger RNA". It matches the Rfam family "Alphaproteobacteria transfer-messenger RNA". Rfam says of the family: Bacterial tmRNA, also known as 10Sa RNA or SsrA, is named for its dual tRNA and mRNA-like properties. Its role is to liberate the mRNA from a stalled ribosome. The record is from RNAcentral.
CCAAAUAAAUUUUAAUAGCGUAUAAUCUUCGUGUUGGUUUUUACCAACUAUAGCAAUAAACGAAGCGUGGAAUAAGCGUAGCGGACCCGGGGGCAGUACCCGGCGCCUCCACCACUUUGACCAGUCUGUCUUUCGGGGGGCGAACCAGGAUCGACGCGCGUAAUAAAGACGCUUUUUUUGCUCGGUAUGGUACCGCCGUUAUCGGGCUUUUAUAAUAGUUGCAAACGACAACUAUGCGGAGGCACGCCUCGCUGCAUAAGCAGUCGGGCAAGCCCAACUAAACUCCAUGUGGUUCGCACCGCAUGGCGGGGUUCGGGGUGCACCUGGCAACAGAAGCACCUCA